GACAGACGCAGAUUAAUCAAAAUCCAAAAUCCAAAAUCUGUGCUCUGUGUUCAAAAUCAUAUGGUUGUCAAUUUUUUAAUGCCGAAUUUUGCUUGUAAUGAUUUCAUUUUUUAAUUAUAUUACAAAUUCUUCAAUUUUUCAUGGAGUGUUUAUUUAUUUAAACACCAUACAGGCGUACCUUUGUGAUUCGGUAAAGGUUUUACGCGAACCUGAUCAGUUGACAGUAGGUGCUUUAGAGUUUGACGACUUCCAGCUAAAGUUGUUAAAAAUAUUCUUUGCUUUUUUGAUACUUAAUUUGUUCUUGAUAUUUGUUGCGUGGAAAUACUACGGAAGGGAUAUUCACGAAAGAUUUAUUAAGCCAACAAGUAAUAGGGAAAUAGAAGAACUCAGAGCCAGUGUUUCAAAGCUUAAGCUCCCUAAGGAGCACACUCCGAGAAUAUAAAGCUUUAACAAUGACAGAGAAAAUAUCAGACAAGGUAAAAAAAUUCUUCCAAAAGAAGAAAGCCGAUGCAAAAUUUAAAAUGGCAGGACCUGGACAUAAAUUAACUGAAUCGUCAUCUACUGCUGUUUCAUCAAGUAAGAAGCCAGGUUAUGUUCCACCACAAAGAUCAGGACCAUCUGAUGUAAACAGGCAAGCUGCAGAAGCUGCACUUGCACGAUUGACUACUCAAUCAAAAAGCACCCCAUUUAAUACUUCAUUAGCUGCAAUACAAGCAAAGGUUAAACGAGAACUAGAAGCUGAAAGGAAAAAUAAUGCCGAAUUUAAUGAAAUACCUCUAGGUCCUAAACAAAUUGACCUAGAAACAUCUUCUCAUUUAGCAGUUAAAGGCGUCUAUUUCAAGUGCCCAUUAGUAAGUGAUGAAAUUUUAUCUAAAGAAGAAUGGAAAGUAAAGAUAAAAGAAUUUUUGUUCGCAGCUCUAGAAGAAGAGAGAGGUAUAACAGCUUGCCUAAUUUUGUAUUCCUGUAAUUAUAAUAGAUCAAAGGUUACAGAGUGCGUGAAUAUACUAUGUAGGUACAUAGACAACAUCAUAGGGAAUCCCACAGAAACUAAAUUCCAUAAGAUCAGGUGUUCUAAUGCCACAUUUGUAGAAAAGGUCACACCAUUAUUGGGAGCCAUCGAAUUCUUAUAUGCAGCUGGAUUUCGGCAGCAAAAGUUAGAUCAUAACGGUGUUGAAGAAGACUUUUGGGUUUGGUCUGAAGAAAAUAUUGAUGGUUUACAGACACUAGAGUUUUUGAGAGAUGCCUUAAAAUCCGAAAACAGAGUCGAACUGGAAUUAGACAGAAAUGUACAGAUUCUUUCCCCAGCCCAGGCAUCUGUAAAAAUUGAUCUACCCAAAGAUUUUUAUGCAAUAUCGCCAGACGAACUUAAAAGAGAACAGCAGUCGAGAUCUGAAAUAGCAGAAAAACAAUUGCAAUUAAGAACUAAAGCUAUGAGAGAAAAAGAUGAACUGAGAGAGAUAAGGAAAUAUAAAUUUUCUCUUAUAAGAGUGAGGUUUCCUGAUGGAAUAUACUUACAGUGGGUUCAUGCUUCCGACAGAGAAGAACAAUCGUAGAGAAGCGACAAAAACCGUCGGCACUAUUGAAGUAGGGGGGACCAAGUUUUGUGACCUUCAAAUUGACGUACAUGAGAGAUAGCAUGUUAUAGCUACACCGAGAGAAAUUCAAUGAAGGCAAAAGAAAUAAGAAAAGCUGUACACUGAAAAAAACAUGUGUUCGGGAACUUUUUCAGUGUACGAAAAAUUUAUAGAUAUACUAGAAUUCGUCAGAGACAGUUUAGAGCAUGACGGCCUGCCCUUCGUUCUUACAGCACCAACAGGCUUAAGGUUUGAAGAUAAGGAUUACGACAGUAC
RNAcentral lists this unclassified non-coding RNA (1850 nucleotides) under Sitophilus oryzae (rice weevil). RNAcentral's name for it is "uBX domain-containing protein 6, transcript variant X1". The record is from RNAcentral. Lineage: Eukaryota; Metazoa; Arthropoda; Insecta; Coleoptera; Curculionidae.